Molecule: non-coding RNA, 73 nt
Filed under: bovine gut metagenome
Description: TPP riboswitch (THI element)
Rfam family: TPP riboswitch aptamer (THI element)
About the family: Vitamin B(1) in its active form thiamin pyrophosphate (TPP) is an essential coenzyme that is synthesised by coupling of pyrimidine and thiazole moieties in bacteria. The previously detected thiamin-regulatory element, thi box was extended, resulting in a new, highly conserved RNA secondary structure, the THI element, which is widely distributed in eubacteria and also occurs in some archaea.
Source: RNAcentral
CUUAGGGGUGCCGUAAGGCUGAGAUUAUACCCUUGAACCUGAUGCAGAUAAUGCUGCCGUAGGGAAAGUUAAA